AGUGGCGAACGGGUGAGUAAUGUAUCGGAACGUGCCCAGUCGUGGGGGAUAACGCAGCGAAAGCUGCGCUAAUACCGCAUACGAUCUAUGGAUGAAAGCGGGGGACCGUAAGGCCUCGCGCGAUUGGAGCGGCCGAUAUCAGAUUAGGUAGUUGGUGGGGUAAAGGCUCACCAAGCCAACGAUCUGUAGCUGGUCUGAGAGGACGACCAGCCACACUGGGACUGAGACACGGCCCAGACUCCUACGGGAGGCAGCAGUGGGGAAUUUUGGACAAUGGGCGCAAGCCUGAUCCAGCAAUGCCGCGUGCAGGAAGAAGGCCUUCGGGUUGUAAACUGCUUUUGUACGGAACGAAACGGUCCUGGUUAAUACCUGGGGCUAAUGACGGUACCGUAAGAAUAAGCACCGGCUAACUACGUGCCAGCAGCCGCGGUAAUACGUAGGGUGCAAGCGUUAAUCGGAAUUACUGGGCGUAAAGCGUGCGCAGGCGGUUUUGUAAGACAGGCGUGAAAUCCCCGGGCUUAACCUGGGAAUGGCGCUUGUGACUGCAAAGCUGGAGUGCGGCAGAGGGGGAUGGAAUUCCGCGUGUAGCAGUGAAAUGCGUAGAUAU
This 607-nucleotide ribosomal RNA is filed under the name uncultured bacterium. Its description in RNAcentral is "bacterial SSU rRNA". It matches the Rfam family "Bacterial small subunit ribosomal RNA", at positions 94 to 697 of the family's 1533-position model. The record is from RNAcentral.